This 33038-nucleotide long non-coding RNA is filed under the name Eucalyptus grandis. Its description in RNAcentral is "long non-coding RNA (EGRA_LNC005689)". Lineage: Eukaryota; Viridiplantae; Streptophyta; Magnoliopsida; Myrtales; Myrtaceae. The record is from RNAcentral.
GAGGCCGACAACAGGUGGUUGUCCAAGGCCGAGGAGUUCGACUACCUGAUCGUCUCUGCAGGGCACUGGUUCUACCGCCCGCUCGUCUUCCACGAGGGCGGCAAGAUUGUGGGGUGCCAAUUUUGCUUGCUAGAGAACGUCCCGUACCUGACCACGGCGUUCAAGGCCAUCAACGGGCUCAAGAACUACAAGGGCAUCACUUACCUGAGGACCUUCGCGCCUUCUCACUUCGAAGGCGGGAUUUGGAACCAGGGCGGCAACUGCGUGCGGACGAGGCCGUUCCGGAGCAACGACACGAGGCCGUUCCGGAGCAACGAGACCGCUCUCGCUGACGAGAACCUGGAGCUGUACAAGAUCCAGGUGGAGGAGUUCCGGAAGGCCGAGCAGGAAGCGAGGGAGAGGGGGCUCAAGUACCGGCUGCUCGACACAACGCAGGCGACGCUAAUGCGGCCCGAUGGCCACCCGAGCCGGUACGGGCACUGGCCGCACGACAACGUGACCCUGUACAAUGACUGCGUGCACUGGUGCCUGCCGGGGCCGAUCGACACGUGGAGCGACUUCCUGCUCGAGAUGCUGAAGACCGAGGGCCGAAGGUCGAGGGAAGAGAAGCUCCGGUUCAGCGACCGGAAGUUGAAGGCCUAAGCGCGAUCGAUGGUCUUUAGUACGUAAGGUUAAUGUGGUCGAUUGGCACUGUCAUUUUCUAUUUGGGCAUGGGAAAUUGGAAAAAUUGGUUGUCCUAUAUUUUUGGUUUCGUCGUUCCAUUAGAGCGAGUUUAUUCAAGAAAUAAAUAAAUUAUUUCAUGUGUUGGCCGUGACUAUGGGUCCUCGACACUAGAUGAAGCAAAGUCAAGUGGUAUUUAUUAUCUUUUCUCCUACAAUUGAGUAGAAAAAAGGAUGGAAAAAAAAAGAGGAAAAAUAAUAUAAAUGGUUCAUGUACUUUGGUCUAUUAUGUAAUGGAGUCCAUGAAUUUUUAAUUUAUUCGAUGUGGUUCCCUAGCUAUAGCCAAAUAUACAAUGUGAUCCUUAAAUUUUCAAUUUGUUCAAUGUGUUCCCUAAAUUUUCAGUACAUAAUCAAUUUAGUCCAUUAACUAUAUAAAAAUAUUCAACAUUGACCCUGAACUUGAAUUCAUUGAAAGACAUAAUUGAUUAUUUUCAUAUAAUUUAAGCACUAAGUUGAACAAUACUAAGGCUAGGUCCAAAUACUAUUUGCUUUGGGUCAGAGCUCAUACGGUUUUUGUUCUUCUACUCUUCGUCUAAAUCACCCUUGUUGACUAGCUUCAGAACAUAUGAAAAACUACUAGAUAAAGACAAUUAUUCAUCGUUAUCACUAGGUAGUACACAAAGAAUGCUUAUGUCAGAUCACAAUUUUGACUCUACUAAUUACAAAAAAUAACUGGGUUCAUCUUACCAAGUAUGAAGAUCAAGAGUAACUACCUCACUAAAUUUAAUUAACUUCAUCCAGAAAAGGUCUUGUUACAAGUUAGGACAAGUGGCAAUGUGGGAUGGCACUUCACCUCACCACAUUUAGGCGAUGUGGGAUUUGGUUCAUACCUACCCUCACUCCUGCACUCGAUGGAUCGAUUAAUUACAGGCUCACUAGCCUCCGUGUGGUUCAUCCUUGAACCUCAAACUUCCCCGACCCAUUACAAGCUCACCAGCUUUUGUGUGGUUCGUCCUUGCACCUCAUUCUUCCGAUUGGGCUUGGCUCUAAUAUCACAAUGUUAAGCCUAUAUCUCACUUAUAAUGAUAUUGUCCGUUUUGGGCUAGUGCCCACAUGUUUUGUUCUUGUGGGCCUUGCUAGAAAAGACCUUGUUACAAGUAAGGACAAGUGUUAUCACAUAUAUGACACCUCAUCUCACCACACUCACAUAUAUGAUACUUCAUCUUAUCACAUUCAAGCGAUAUGGAAUUUGGUUCAUUCAUGUCCCCAUUGCCAUCCUAGAGCCAGAGCUGCACUUUGUCUGAGCCCCAAAGCUUCGGCAAUCACUCUUGCCCUGAAUGGAUUGGGUCAUUACAAACAAGUACAAAAAAUUUAGGGACUCAUUGAACAUAUUAAAAGUCUAUGGACCACAUUGUAUAUUAAAUUAAAGUUUAUGAAUUACUUUAAACAAAUUAAAAAGUUAAGAAUCACAUUACAUAUUAAUUAAUAGUUCAUGGACCAUUUGUGUCAUUAUAAAUCAAUGCAAACUUCGAAGCUAGCAAAUGGGAUUGAACACCGGAGAGAUGUUGACUUUUCUGAUUUGGGAUGCCAGCACCACAACUUAAUUUUAGAUACGGAGUAAUAGCAUAUUUUGCUUGGAAUAUGUUAUUAUAUUAAAUAAAUAAAAUCAAACGAUGAUAUUUUUAUUAUGGGUACUGUCUAAGGCACUUCUUAAGUUGACUAUAGUUGGAAGUAAAAUUUUUCAAGUCACUUCGAAAAAAAAAACAAAACAUUUUAAUAAAACCAUUUAUCUCAAAUAGUAAAUAUUAAGUUUAUAAAGCAUAUUUAAUAAGAUUAAAUUUUAAGUUAACACCUUCCUUAUAUAAUUAUUAUUUUUUGUCGUAUUAGUAAAAGUGCCAGUUAAGGAAGCAAGCAUGCAUUGACAAACGAGAGGUUGUAAUCAUUAUUAUUUUUUCCCCUUAUUUUUUCCCCACGUGCUCGAAAAGUCUACCUUCCAAUUCAAGAAAGGAUAGUGGUUAGUGUGAACAACAUUUCUUUAAUCCAUACACAUUAAUCUAACCUUGGAUCCACUAAUCGCUGCACUUCAUUAACGAGAGAACUUUGACAAAAACGUUAACGUUUAGGAGAAGUAAAAUGCCAAGUCAACGUUAUUUUUUAUCAUACAUAUGUAGCGGUUGACGCGGGAAAUCAGUUAAGGAAAAGGGCUCAUUCCUUUGAAAAACGCUCAACUUCAGGUUUUUAUCCUGAAUUUUUUUUUGUCCCAUAAAAAAUUCCUAAUUUUCACUCUAAUCUUAAGUCUAAUCAAGUAUCCAAAUAUAAUCACUGAUUUUUUUGAUAUCAUCAACAUUAGGAGGUUGCUGUUGUUCCUUUCAAGGUGGGGUUGUUGGUGAAAACACCGUUUCUGAUAAUGAACUUCUAACUAAUUAUGAUAUCGAUAAUUUCGAGUAAAUUAGUGGCAAUUUGUCGCGACCAAAUUUUCGGGUGUGAACUACCUAGGGCUUGGCUAAUGGAUUGUUAAGCCUAGACUUAACUCGGUUCUCCCAAGCCCAUAUCAAUUCGCGAUUUAAGUUUAAGUUCUUAACAUGCAAUUAAUUUUCAAUUAGGAGUCACCACUAAUUUAUUUUUGGUGGGUCGAUUAGAAACCCAAGUAAAUUAAAAUUUUACUUUACUCAUACAAACUAGAGACUCUAGGUACGGGGAUUUAGUUACACUAGAUUUCUCUAAUACAUUUUCGAUACCAUUAUUUUAUUUUCCAAAAAAUAUUUUUGCGGACAGCUUAAAUUGAUUUUAAAUCUAUUUCUUUAACAUGUGAGGUAAUUCAUGUAGGUACGCAAUCCACCAAUUUAACACUCAGAUAAACAAUAAAUAAAUUGCAAAAACUUACCUCAAAGUAACGAAAGCAUUUGGAAUGUUAAAUUAAAAUCCACAUCAACAACCUUAGAUAUGGUUUCUAAUUAACACGCAAUUUCUUUUUUUGUUUUUACUUAAUUAAUGAAAAUAAUGCAAUAUGCAAUGCAAUAUUAACUAAAUGACCUAAUUCUAAUGACAUGUAAUUUCUAAUUAAAUGAGUCUAGCAAAAAUACUAAAUGACAUGCAUUUUAGUGAAUCUAACCCUAAUGACGUGCAUAUAACAUUUUUUCUUUUUCCUAAAAGAAUGCAUUUUAUCCUAAAUAAUAAAAAUAAUUUAACUUAUGACAUUUUUUUUGUAUUUUUCAUGAAAUUCGAAAUUUGGUGAAAUGUGAAAAUUACCUAACUAGAUUAAGAUCCUAUUUAAUUUAUAUUAGGAAUUAGGUUGAGCCAAAUUCUAAUUUAAACUAAAAUAUUAUCUUAACCUAAAUAAUCCUAAAAUGCAAUAUAUCUAAAAAAUACCUAAACUUAUAAUAAAUUAAGAAAAAAUAUUAUCUAAAAUUAAACCAAGUGCAAUUUAACCCGACGUACAAAAUAUGCCCUAAUUCUACAUGACAUAUGCAUGAUGAUUUUUUGUUGUUUUUUUAAUUAAUAAUUGCCAAAUAAUUAAACAUGCAAUCCAAAUUAAAAUCUAGCAACCUAAAUUGAUUUAUUUGAAUUUUGAAUUUUGAAUUUUGAUUUUUUUAAAAAAUUUGAAAUAAAAUUCCUAUUCUAAAAAUGUAAACCCUAAAAUAUGCAAUAUUCUAGCUUAAACAUAUCUCAAGAUAAACGAGGUAAUUAAGACGAGACAACUCAUUCAAAAUCAUAAAAAAUAUCACGCAUCGUUCAGAUCAAAGGAUAAUAUUUCGUUAGUAAAAUCUAUAAAUUGAUCUUAAGCCUUAAAGAUCAAAAUAUCAAUUUUAUUCCCACUUAAUUAAUUAUUUUAUCUAAAGCCAUAUAGAUGAAACAAAAAACCUUGGCGCGGUUGCGAAUCAGGUGAUAUAUUGGGAUUUUCAAUUAUGCAUAGAUAGGUAUUUCAACUAAAGAAAAUAACAUAUAAAGAGAUAAUAAUAAUAAAAUAGAGAAAAAAAACCUAAACUAGCCUAAUAAAGUAAAGCAAAAAUACCUAAUAAUUUUUUUUAAAAGAAAAAAAAAAGAGGGAAAUCCUGGCCGCUGGUUUUGGGGGUAAUCGCCGGCGAGGGUUUCCGGCGUAGACACCGGGAGCGGCUCAACGGCGGCGAGGCAAUAUGGAGCGUCGCUGGGUGCGGGCGUCGUGGGCGAGGGACUCCGAGCACGGGCAGAGGCAAGGCAGAGACGACGUUGGGGCGGCGAGGCAACGGGGAGCGUCGCGGGCGGAGCAGGAGCUUCGGAUCUCCUGGUGUCGGUCACGAGUAGGGCGGAGAGCAACCCCGGGUCGUCAGGUCACUGGAUCUAUGGCGUCGGGUGACCGAUCGGAGGUCGCGAUGAGGUUGCAGGCGGAGUGUGAUGGAGCAGGGGCUUCGGAUCGACGCGAGCUCGCGAGUGAAGGUUCGGAGUGGCGGUCCAACGUCGCGGGUGCGGCCGAGUCGUGGCGGCGGCGGCAGUGCAGGCAAGCAGCGCCGGUGCCGGCAGGGACACUCCCACGAGGAAGAUGAACAGUCACGUGGGGGCUUUUCUCUUUUUUUUUGGUUUGGUCUCUUUCUCUCACGUCACUUUUUCAACUUCACUUUUGUGUACUUUUUCACCGAAAGAAAGAGCCCCCUUUUACUUUGCGCGGUGUAUUUUAUAAGUCCAAAAAAUGUAUCCUCACGACAUAUAUUUUUUCCUUUUUUGCUUGCGCACAAUACCCUAAAUAUGUCGUUAAAACAGACAUAUCCCGCGCAAGACAUAUCCCGCGCAAUAUUCUAUCUAGAAAAAUUCCCUCUUUGCACAAAAUACACCCCUAGUGUAUAUUACCUAAAAAUAUGAAAAAUCUAAAUGGAAUAUAUGAAAAAUAUUCCCUUCACCGGAGGCCUAAAAUAAAACAAAAUAAAAAUAAAAUAUUUCUAAAUUAUAUGCCAUGUGUGUUUUUUUUAGUUUAGUAAAAAUUAACUCAAAAUUUGUGCAAAAAUUUAGGUGUCAACACACUUUUUAGAUGAGUGAAAGUGGAGGAUUUUUUAUGAGACAAAAAAAGUUCAUGAUAGAAUUGGGGUUAGAUUUAAAGUUUUGGGUGUUUUGGGGAAUUAGACCAAUAGAAAAAAAUAUAAAACAAAACAUGAUGACAUCAUUUUCUAUAUAUAAAGCUAAACACAUUGAGAUCAAAUAAAAAAAAAAUGGGAUCGAUCAACGCCACUUACAUUUAUGAAAGUAGAUUUCGAACCCAUAAAAUAAUGCAAUAAAGUCAAUGAUGUACCGUUCUAACGUAAUUUAUAGUCCCCACGCGAAAAACGACGAGCUACUAAUCUCUUUCUCUAGCAAUAAACGAUAAGCCCCGUGGACGUUGCCAUUCUUGCUAUUCAAUUGGUGUACAGCGAUGUCUCACCAGAAGAGAAAAUGGCAUAUUGGCAUUACUCCACUUGCCUUUAAUUUAUUCAUGAGGCUUUUGUCUUAGCCUCCUCUCAUUCUCCUAUUUAAUUCGUGCACAAUUCUGGAGUUUAUAUCUAGACGCAUCGAGCUAUUACAUCACAUUUUAUGGCUAAAGUUUUCAUGAUAUAUAAAAGGGAAAUCACUUAUUCUAAUCAAUCCACGUGAAACUUUGGUGAGUGAUUAGAGAUAUGCUAACGUAUGGUUUUCUAAUAUGUUCAUACACAUAUCUUUCGUGAUACAGAUCUUAUAUCUUUGAAAAAUGACACGCUCAUGUCACGUCGAGGUACUGCAGAAGAAAAAACUGCAAAAUCCGAUAAAGUAAUCCUUAAACUUUGGCUCAAUGUAUAACGUUGUCAAUGAAUUUUAACUUAAUGUACAAUGUGAUCCAUAAACUUUGAAUUCGUUCAAUAUAAUCUCCGAAUUUUUUGUGCAUGUUCAAUUUAUUCCUUAGUGUAAUGAAAAUGUUCAAUUUUGUUCUUAAUCUUGAAUUAAUAAAAAGGAUUAUAUUGAACAUUUUUACAUUGUUCAAACACUACAUUGAACAUGUAAUAAAAAUUUAGGGACUAUAUUGAAUAAAUAAAAAGUUCAAGAACUACAUUAUAUAUUAAACUAAAGUUUAAAUAUCGCAUUACAUAUUUGAUCAAAGUUUAAGAAUUAUCUAUGUCAUUAUCUCUAUAUCUUUUGUAAUAUAAUCCUUGUGAGCUUUGCUUCUUGAGACGUAUGUCAUGCGCUCGCCAUUGCCGUUGGUGCUUUAACCUAACGGGGGCUUAAAGAAAGACACGGAAAAAAGAACACGACACAAGCGACGAAAGAAGCAGUGGCUUCGAAACGACUAAAAAUCUUUUUAAAAGCUUUGAUUCCAAAUAUGAAUGGCCCAUUUGGUUCGGCUUUUGGGGAAUACAUUUGCCAAAAUGCAAAUACCUUUGGGUGAAUGGGGUUUUCCGAAAUGCAAAUAUCGUUUGGUAAAAUUUGCAUUGAGAUACAACUUUGGCCAAAAUACCGUUUGGUAAAAUUUACAUUUGUAAAUGACUUUUAUUAAAUUAAAAAAACAAAAAAACAUUUGUAUUAAUUUUUUUGAAGUUUGGCCACCGGACCGCCGGAUCCGGCGGCUGGAUGGCCUGGCGCGACCCUGGCGGCGUUGCCGGGGUCACGCAACCUAGGCGACCGUCGCCUGGGUUGCAGUCGCCUGGGUCGCGCGACCCAGACGUCGCUGGGGUCGGGCGACCCUCAGGUGGCGGUCGUCGGCGGCUGAUGGUUGUCGGCCUCCGAUCAGCUUCUUCGCGGUGGUGUGCAGUGAUUUUUGGAGAAGAUGAAUAGUGCCGAACUUGCAUUCCAGAGAUGCAACUUCCCAAAGUACCUUCGGAGCUGCAUUGGGCUAAAGGCCCUUAGAGCCACUUGGAGAUGCAAUUGCAUCUCGCCAAAGUCGUCCAAAAAACCGAACCAAACACAUUUGCAUUUGGCCAAGGGACUUUAGAGCCCAAAUAGGCUUUCCAAAUGCCCAACCAAAUAGGGCUGAAGUCCUAAAUGCCGUUCUCAUAUUUUUCGACGUAACUUUCAUGCAUGCCUAGAAGACUCUCUCUCUCUCUCUCUCUCUCUCUCUCUCUCUCUCUCUCUCUCUCUAUCUCUCUCUCUCUAUCUCUCUCUCUCUUUCUCGCUUGCACGAACACCGUACACACAUCCCUCAUCCGCCAUGAAGGUCCCGCUCUCGGCGCAUCACGGUGAUAGGAAUGCACCGCAGCACAGCGCAGGUGUCAACUUCAGGAGCAUGGCGAUGAUCGUUCCAGCCAUGAUUCUUCUUGUCGUGAUCUCUCUGUGGCUCCUCGUCGUGACCUCGCCAGUCCAGCCUCAAGAUUAUCCUCUGGCAUGGUUGAUGGAGGACAAGAACGAUAGCCCCAACAACACGAGAGUGGGGGUGGCAGUGGCAGCGGCGGCGGUAGCGGUGGUGAGGGAGAAGAAAUGCGAUGUGUUCAUGGGGAAAUGAGUGUACCGCCCGGACGCGCCGACAUACUACACCAACGAGACUUGCUAUGCGAUAAGUGACCAGCAGAACUGCAUGAAGUUCGGGAGGCUCGACAUGGAGUUCUUGAAGUGGCAGUGGGAGCUAGACGGGUGUGAGCUCCCGCCGUUCGACACUGCUGAGUUCGCUGAGAUGGCACGGGGGAAGUCAAUCGCCUUCGUCAGUGACUCUCUUGGGAGGAACCACAUGCGGUCCCUGUUGUGCCUCUUGUCUAACGUAAGUGCUCGAUCUAGUUUCGGUUGACUAGAUUAUUCUAAUUGCCACGAGCUAAUCACUUCCUCUAUUCAAAACAUGAGAAUCUAUGAUGUGGACAUCGAGCCAUAUUGAGAAGGUGGUGCUAGGGACCCAUUGUCUAAUCCUAUUGGUUCGAUUACUCGAGCGGGGUCAGGCAAUUUAGGCAAGCUGUUGGCGUCAUGGUUCGUGAUCUUCGACGUGGAGAUAAUCUUUGAUCAAAUCUUGAAAAUCUUGGCGCAAUUUGAUUAUCUGGUCACAAAAUAUUUGACUAAGUAUAUAUAUAUAGGAUUGGUUUUAGGGUUUGUGUGGCAGCUAGAAGGCUUAUAUUAAAGAUUGACUGAAUUCCUUUGGGGGACAAAUAUUUUUUUUAAGAAAAAAGUUGAGAGAUUAUCUUUUACUGUUCUUUUGAGAAGUCGACCUUAUCAAGGUUCUCUUGUGAUGGUCCCUACGACUGUGAAUUCUUUCGCUUGUGGCGCCUAUAACAUUGGUUGGUUGACACGCGUUCGUCAACAGGUCACGUUCAUACCGAAGUUGCCAAUCACAAGUUUGAUUAGAGGUCGGGGUUCGCAAUUCUCACCAUCCGAGCCUUCGUAGAACGAUCUUUCUGCAAUGAUUCACAUCAUUUUGGUAUUAGAGCUUGCUUUUACAAGGUCUAUUUAUCUUCAAUUUUUUGUUUAUAUUCAGCAAUUUGAGAUUUAUUGAGCUAGAGUUUCGGUUCUAGCCAAUUUAAGGAUCCGAUUGCUUUUGUGCUUCCAUAUAUAGUUGUUUGUUGUUAGAUUUAAUUUUUUUUCUAGCAUCAUAAAUUGUAUCUGAGUUCGUAAAAAAAAGAAGAAGAGAAAGUUCGUAAAAAAAAAAGAAGAGAAAUAAGAUGCACAAAAAAAAGGUGCACAAGAGAAAAAAACAGAUUUAGCAGAAAAAAAAAUAGCCGAACAAAAAAAAAAUCAAGAAGGCGACUCAUUUGUUAGUGGACGAAUUGAAACAAAAUCAGUAGUAAUUUGCAUUUCAAUUGGAAUUUCGAAAGUUGUACUUAUUGGUUUGAAAUUGCUAUUUGCUCAAACAAAAUCAACAUUGAUCUAAUCUUGUCUGAUUAGUUUGAUUCAUUGUCGUGAGGGGGUUGAGAGACGGGUUUUGAGUCCAAUAAAGAGCUUGUGAAAAGAUAAUACGAGAGGGAAAAGACAAGAGUGUGUAAUCUUAAUUGAUGGUGGAAAAAGCCUAGACUUGAGUUAAACACGAGAGGAGUGACAAACACAUUGAGAGAAACACGUGAGGGAGCGAUUGGUGAGGAUUAUUGUGACUAACGUAUACUUGUAGGUCUAAAAUAUGUUGCAUGAAAAAAACGUGAAUUAAAGGGAGGUUGACUCUGUACAAAAGGAUGAAGCACUUGUAGAAAGCAUUCAACAAUUGAAGGCUGUAGUGGAGGAGCUUAGUGGCCAAAUAAUGGGGAAUGACAUGAGGGUUGAUGGUGACCAAGAGCUACCCAGGGAAGGCCGCAACAUCAGCGAGACGCCUUUAGAACACGACAUAGAAGGUGUCGGCAUUAUGAUGAUGAUGAGGUCGACAUGGAGGAUAAUCGAGAUGCUUGAUUUGGAAAGUGGAAUAGAGCCCGAGGGUUUAGACACUGAGAAUAUAAUGAACUUGACAAUAUUAAGAUGGAGAUUCCUUCUUUCCAAAGGAAGAAUGAUCCCGAUGCGUAUCUAGAGUGGGAGAAAUGCAUGGCGAUGUAUUUUAUUGCCAACAAUACUCCGAGCUAAAAAAGGUAAAAAUUGUAGCUGUUGAAUUGACUGAUUAUGCUUUAAUUUGGUGGAAUCAAUGUGUGACUAGUAGGAGAUGCAAUGGUGAAAGAUCGAUAGAGAGUGGGAUGAGUUGAAAGCGGUGAUGAGGAUGCGUUUUGAACCAAGUCAUUACCAUCGAGAUUUAUUUCAAAAAUUACAAAAUCUCACACAAUGCAAUAAAAGCGUGGAAGAGUAUCACAAUGAGAUGGAGAUUGUCAUGAUCCGUGCUAAUGUGGUGGAGGAUCGUGAGGCCACAAUGUCAAGAUUUUUGAGUGGUUUGAGCCGAGACAUAGCAAGGGUGGUGAGUUGCAACACUAUGUUGAAUUGGAGGAAUUGGUGGAUAAAGCCAUCAAAGUUGAGCGACAAUUGAAGUUGGACCGAAAUCACAAGAAUGGAGGAGAUUCAAAUCAGAAUUGAAGAUCCAAUUGGAAGAGAUGAGAAGCCAAAUUGGAGAGGAAACAACACUAAAAUCGAAACCUCAAAGGAGAAGGAGAGGGACGGUAAAGUUGGACCAAAUUUAAUUUCAGGUAAAACCGAAAACCCUAAUACUAGAACUUGUGAGAUUAAAUGUUUUAAGUGUUUGGGUAAGGGUCAUAUGGCGAAUCAAUGCCCUAAUAGGAGGGUGAUGAUCAUGAUUGGACAUGGUGUUAUAGAGUCCGAAAGUGAAAGGGAAGAAGAGAAUGAUGAGAUGCUACCAUUAGAGGAUUGCAGUGAUGGAGAAAUAGCUAUAAAAUGAGACUUAUUGGUGGUUAGGCGUUCUCUUAGUGUGCAAGUAAAGGAGGAGGAGCAUCAUCAACAAAGAGAUAACUUGUUUCAUACAAGAUAUGUGGUGAAUGGUAAGAUUUGUAGUUUGAUAAUUGAUGGAGGUAGUUGUGCAAAUGUGGCAAGUUGUAAUAUGGUGGAUAAGUUGGGUUUGAAGACGACAAAGCACCCUAGGCCUUAUAAACUUCAAUGGUUAAAUGAUAGUGGAGAGGUGAAAGUAUCAAAGCAAGUUCGAAUCCCAUUUGAGAUAGGGAGAUACAAGGACGAGGUAAGUAUGAUGUUAGUGCUACAUUUAAUGUUUCUGACUUGACUCUUUUUGAUGCAAGUGAUGAUUUGAGGACAAAUCCUUUGCACGGGGGGAGGGAAUGAUGUGGACAUCGAGCCAUAUUGAGGAGGUGGUGCUAGGAAUCCAUUGUCUAUUCCUACUGGUUCGAUUACUUGAGCGCGAGCCAAGUAAUUUAGGCAAGAUGUUGGCGUCAUGGUUCGGGAUCUUCGGCGUGGAGAUGACCUUGGAUCAAAUCUUAAAGAAUCUUAAAAAUCUUGGUGCAAUUUGAUUAUCUAGUCACCAAAUAUUUGACCAAGUCAAUAUAUAUAUAUAUAUUCUUGUUUAGGUAUAUUUUAGAAUAUGACGCAUUAGAUUUCUAGGGUUGGUUUUAAGGUUUGUGUGGCGGCUAAAAAACUUAUAUUAAAAACUGACUGCAUUCCUUUGGGGGACAGAUAUUUUUUUUUAAGAAAAAAGUUGAGAGAUUCUCUUCUACUGUUCUUUUGAGGACUUGACCUUAUCAAGAUUCUCUUGUGACGAUCAAUUCGACUUAUCUAGCGAGAUAGCGAAUUCUUUCGCUUGUGGCGUCUAUAAUGUUGGUUGGUUGACACACGUUCAUUAACAGGUCACGUUCAAACUUGUGAUUACGCGUUUGUAAACAUGUCACGUUCAUAUCGAGAUUGCUAAUCACAGGUUUGAUUGGAGGUCGAGGUUCGCAAUUUGCAUCAUCCGGGUCUUCGUAGAACAAUAUUUCCGCAAUGAUUCACAUCAAACUACUUACGAUUGACCUUGUUUAUCAUGUGAUUAUACUCAAGAUGAGCCCUGACCAAUGAAUUUUCUUGUCUGCAUAAUUCAGUUUUACGUCGAUUUGACCGAUUGCUUGCGGUGUUUGAAUUGCCUUCUCUUCCCCCAAAGAGGUUAAAGAGGCGGAUAAAUGCGCUUAGAGAAAUGCGCUAAGUCAAUGUGAGCUGUUCUUAGAAUGACAUUUUCUUAUUUUUAAUGGAAAUUUAAGAGCAGAAAAUCAUAGAUGUUCAUACGAGCGAAAAGGAUAGCUUCUCUCAUUAAUUCGCGGUGUUGAUUGAGCCGAGCCCUUCAAUGCGCAAGGGUUGGGAGUAUACUCAUCCUUCCUCACAUGCCGAUGACGAGAUCAUUAGGCAUUUCGAGACCAUUGCAUCCAACGUACGCUGUGUUUCAAAACGGGUUGCUGUUCAUGUGAUCAUUACUAUCGUGGCGUGAUCAAUCUGGUGAGCACUAAGUAGGUCUUGAGUUCUAAUGCUUUCUUGGGAAGAACAACUUGGACCGUGCUUUAUUAGCAAUCGGAAGAGUCGGGUCCUAAGGCUAAGGGCGCGUUUGGUAACGAUUCUGUUCCCGAGAGUAGAUUCUGAUCAUAAAUGAUUCUUUUUUAUUUUGUUCUCGGGAACUGAUUCUAAGCAUUUUAAGCCGUUUGGUAACUAUCCAAAAUUUCUGAUUCUGGAAUAGAAUUGCGUUUGGUACCGUGCUUAUUAAUUCUGUUCCAAAUCAAUUUCUUUUAAUUUUUAAAUAAAUUUUUUACUUUUUUUUUUCUUUUUUCAUUUUUCAUUUUUUUAUUUUUCUCAUCUUCUUCUUCUUCUUGUGGCCGGCGACCUCACCGAAGCGUUGCUGGCCCUCGUCGGUCAAGCCUCGUCGGCAGUUGGGCGAGGCUCGCCUAGCCUUGCUGGUGACCAGGCCAGCCUCGCUGGGGCUAGGCGAGCCUUGCCGGUGGCUAGGCAAGCUCGUCGAGGUUGGGCGAGCCUCGCCUAGCCACCGGUGGGGCUAGGCGUCACGAGGCUUGCCUAGCCCCUGCCCAGCCUCGGCGAGCCUCGCUAGUGGUUGGGCAAGCCUCCAGCGAGCUCGCUGGUGGCUGGGCUUGCCUCUGGCGGAGGCGAGCUCGUCGGAUCGGCGGCCGGCGACGGCAGUGGACAGCGGACGACGGACGGUGGCGAGCGGUGGUGGACAGCGGUUGUGAGAUGGCUGAAGGGAAGAAGAAGAGUUCUUGAUUUUGAUUCUCAAAUUCGUUUCCGGAACAAGAAUCAACCUUUUUUUUUUGUUCUUGAUUCUAUUCUCAAUUUGUUCCCGGGAACAAAAAUCUUACCAAACAUGAUUCUAGGCCCAAAUUGAUUCCUGGAACAAAGAAUCAGAAUUUGGCCAUGUUUGGAUGGUUACCAAACAUGGCCUAAGAGUCCUAGUGAUCAUACGACCUUGUAAUCGUGCAUCGCUCGAAUAUCAAUAGAAACAAAAUUAACAAGGUGUCAUUAUAAGCCAACCAAAUAAGGUGUAACUAUAUUUUCUAACCUAAGCACAAAUUACAGUUAAUAUUCCAUAAACCCUAAAGUGAUACGUCCGUGUCAAAUUUAUUUUAAACUAAUUUUUGAUAAUCAAAAACUUUAAAUUAGUUUACACGCGGCAUCAAAAACCUCAAACUACUAUAUUUAUGAUAAUUUUACAUGCUGUUAAUUUUUGUUGAAUAAAAUUAAUUCCAUGAAAAACUACAAAUUAGUACAUCUGUAACAAACAAAGGAUACGAUCCUAAAUUGAUAUACUCGUCUACUGUCACCUGUUAUCCAAUUCGGUAAUUUGAUAAUAAAAUUUAAUGAAAUUUAAUGGAGAUAAAUUUAUCAUAGAUGUAUCGUAUUAUGAUUUUUCAUUGUAUACCCUAAAAAUUAUUUGUAAAGAAUUUGGGUGUGAAGUCAACAGUCCAUCAAAUUGCUUGUGGAAAGGUGGGGGGGUCCCAAGCAAGCGGGCUCCCGGAGCAAAAAGCCCAUGGGCUCGCUCCCGUUGUUCGGCCCGGUUUAAGAUCCGAACCGCGGCGUCGUUUUUACCCGAUAUUUUUCUAAAGUCCAGGCCGAGCCCGGAAGUCCGGCCGUCAGUCAUCACCUUCCUCCCGAUUCAAACUUUCGAUUUCCGCGGCAAAACCGUCCGUCUUCGUCUCCCAUGGCGCACGAAGGUUCUCCAGAUUCGUUCCUAACGCGUGCCUCCCGUCGAUCGCUUCGCUUCUAGGGUUUUGCCCUCGUGCUUUCUCGCUCCGAGAACUGCCUCUCUCUAGAUCGUCUGCGUCUUGGAUCCGAUUUCGCGGCGUUCGGCAGCGCGUGUGGGGAGUAGAAUCGAGUGUGAAUGGAGUCGUUCCUCGGUAGAUGCUAUUGAUAGGGCUUCGAGGGGAGCUGCGAUGCUCCUGAAUCGUCUUUGUCCGUUUUGUAGCAAUUUCCACUGAUGUUGUUUUUCCUCGCUUUGUUUUGUCUCAGUUGCCGGUCCGGUCCGAGGCAUGGAGUCCGUCGUGGCUUCGGUGAGUGGAUACCAUGGUGCGGAGCGCUUCGAUCUUAUUAAGCUGAUUUCUUCGAUGGGAGCUAGCUACGUCGGAGCCAUGUCGAGCUCGACCACGCAUUUGGUGAGUUUUGCUGGCUGGAUGCGGUGGAAUUCCGGUUGCGAGAGCGUGGCGUGAAGUCAUGGACUGUCUUAUAAUUUGGUCUUGUGGUUUGCUCUGGGUGUUGAAAUACAGGUUUGCAGAAGAUUUGAAGGGCAAAAAUAUGAUCUUGCCAGGAAGUUUAAGACGCAUGUGGUCAAUCACCGGUGGGUGGAAGAGUGCAUAAAGCAAGGAAAGCGUGUUCCGGAACAUCCCUACACAUGGGAAAGGUGUGUAUCAGUAGUCAAUUUAGCUGAUGUAUACAUGAGAAUAUGGGAUGCGGUCUAGAAUUUUCAUUUCAUUUCGAAUUGUUAUUAGAUUGGUCUGAAUGUUACCUUAAAACCAUCCUGUCACAGUCAAUUAGGCUCAAAGAUUCCUCGUUGCACGCUGUCGUGGUCAUUAAAUGUGUCCUCUUCUGAACAUUACAAAAAAGGAGAUUUCCUUAAUUAAAAAAUUUGUGCUUCUCCUUAAGAAAGCUUUAGCUGCUGGCUAGCAUGGCCUCUGGUUGAAGGAAAAUGCAUGCCCUAGAUGGAACUAUGCCCUUUUCAAAUGAGGACUUUAUUUUCCGACAACAUUCAGGGAGUUUUUGGUUAGUUUGGUAGUUUCUUUUUCUUGACUAGUUUUCCAUCAGGUAGUUAAUAUAGGACAUUCUUCAUGUACUUGAUUCAGGAAAAGUCUGCUUUUUAGAAUCAAGUCUGCUCUAGAUAAUGUGGCAUAACAAUGUUGGGUCCAGGUAUCGGACUGGACAGAGGGAGUGAAUUAAAUACAUGAAAUGCACUUACGUACGCAACAGUUUCAGCUAGGUGUUGGUGUUUGUUGCAACUUGUCUGUGAAACUCACAAGCAUAGUUAUGAGAUGACGGUCUGACAGCAAAAUUAAUAUCUUGUAUCAAUUAUUUUGCAUGAUAUAGAAACUUGAACACGAUAGAAGCUAUUUGAUUUCACUUGAGACUAUUUGACACUGAUUUUUCUGUGUAUAAUGCUUAUGAGGUGGUAAAAGAAUUAUUGGCUUGAGUUUGCCCCAUGUUUACAAAAAGAGGAAAUUCUGCAAGUUUGCUCAAAUAGUCAUAGUGGUUCUGCCAUCCAUCCAUCUAUUCUGUUUCUUUUUUUUUUUUUUUUUCCCGUGUUAGUUAGUAGUGAUGGAAAUAAUGUUGGCUGGUUUAGGUUAUUUUUGGCUCAAGAUGAAUUCCUUGGUACCUUUGUUUUAUUGUCUGUAGAAGUCAUUGUUUUCUCCAAAUUUUUUCAGAAAAAUCGUCAUCUAUGCUAUUUGCUAAUCAUGUUAUUGUUGUUAAAUUACAAUGUGAUGACGCUGAUGAAUUUUAUGCAGUGGGGAGGAAGUGGGAUCAUUGUUGUUGCCAGUCCCAGUGAAUUCUAAGCCAUACAUCACAAGGAAGAAGCAUAAAGUACUUUCUGAUCGGUCCAACUUUGCUAGUGCAUCAACGAGACAAGUAGCUGAUUCAGCUUUUGAAGAUAAUAGAAGUGAUAUUUGGACUGACUCUCAUUUGUUGAAGGAGGUAUGGCCCAGACUGCAUUUUGAAUCUCAUUUUUUGCUUCUCCAGUUCAUCAUGUCCUGCAGUUUUCAUAAACUUUUCCAUAAUUCUGUUGUGAAUGACUUGGCUUUGCCCUUGGUUUCUGCAUUUCGUGUGCUUUACCACCUAGUUCAUCAGAUUGACUCCUAUUGUUCACUGACUGUAUUAAAGGGGCUGAUGAUUUCAUCUCUUUUGCUCCUGUUUAGCGUUAUGCGUUAGCUUUCAGUCUCUUACACCUGUAUAAUAUAUGUGUGAUGUAUUCCUCUUGCAGUGACCAUUUUAAUAGCCAGUACACAGAAUCCUGAUCUGUCUGUGUUAUGCUGGUAUCAUAACUUAUGCUCAUAUGAGACUUGGCUGCUCAGACAGACAUGCUGAUGCUCAUGAAUUUUGCACUUGGUCGAGAAGAGGAUGGUCUGCAACAAAUUAAUUGUUAUCUGUAGUGGCUAAGAUACUUUUAAAGUAGUGAUUUUAAAUCAAACUCAUCUGUUUGCGGCCAUUCUAGUUUUCAUGAAUCACUAGAUUUGUAUACUUUUGUUCUAUCCCUUGUAUUACAUUCUGAAUACUUCCAUUGACGCACACAUGAAAUGUACAAUUAGAAAAAACCAAGCAGCAAAACUUCAUGUUGUCAGAAUUAUGGAGAUUAAGUUUCACUGUACUGACGGAGACGCUUUAUAUCUUGUACAAAGAAGCCACUAGUCUCUCCCUCAAGACACAGGUAGAUCUAGGAGACAGCAUAGCAUAGUGGAACUCAUCCUUGAUAACAUUUCCUUUUGGAUUUUCAAAACACAAAUACCUAAUUGUUUUCACUUUGAAUUGCAAAAUUCUCACUACCAAGGUUUACCUAGGUAAGUGCUUUGUUUUUGUAUAAAAACUUAUGUUAAGUAUUUGAGCAUAAUUUCUUUUUAGCUUGUCCUCUUUUUCAGUUUGUUUUGUUUUUCAAUCAGAAUCAAACUAAGCAUCCAGCACAUCUAGUAAAAUGAUUUUUCUUGUAUACUACUACAUACUCCAAAGGUGCAGUAUUUCAGCAGCAUGAGAUGAAUUUUGUCUAAGUCUUCUGAAAUCAGGGGCCAGGUUUUAAAGUUAGUUUUACUGGUUUUUCUCCAUAGAUUUUUCUUUCACUUUUCUCUUUGAUAUUAUGAUAGAUGCUUAUUCUGGUGAAGUCAGAUUGCCACUAAUGAGCUUGUACCUCUUCUAUGUUGUGAAGUGUCCAGAGCUGAAUCGGUCAUCUAGAAGGUUGUUGAGAGGAAAAAGAAUCAUUACCCCGCAUGAAGAGUCACAUCUUAGUCCAUCUAUGUGUUUUGGGAGAAGAGAAAUGAAGUCAUUCAGUGGCAAUGGGGAUUCUUCUUAUGCUGAAUCUUCUAAAAGGGGCAGAAAUUUGGUAAAAAGGAAUGCUAAAAGAGAGGCUUUGAAGUUAAAUGCCUCAGAUUCGGACCAGGAAUGCUAUGUGGUUGGUGGUGAUGACAAAUAUGGGGACAUAACAUCUCCAUCUGAACAGUUGAAUGGUAAGUUUGUCAGUACCAGAAAGGGAGCGACACAAAAUGGACCCUACGGGCAUGAGGGAGCAAUAAAUGGCAUUAUUGAAGAUGUUGAUGAGAUUGAAGAUAGGAAUUACGAUCACCAGCCUUCUCCUGAGGAUUCAAUUCGGAAGGAUUUACCGGACUCCCUAGAAAGAGUUUCAAAAGAUGAACCGAAUGCAGAGAAGUUAAGUCUUGAGGUUGAUGAUGUGGGGCAGACUGAUUAUGUUAAGUGUUUACCAUCAUCAGUGGAGUUAUCAUGUGUUAUAUGUUGGACGGAGUACAGCUCAACCAGAGGGAUACUACCAUGUGGACAUAGAUUUUGUUAUUCGUGCAUUCGGAAUUGGUCUGACCAUAUGGUACGUGUUCUUUUGGUUUCAUUUUUGUGCAUUUCCCAAAAUAGUGAUUGCCCUAAAAAUUGUAUUGGCUCUUGAACAUCUGCUAGUGUGACAAAGUUCUUUCUGAUAGUACAUGGGCAUGUUGCUGGCCCGAGGUAGAGCACUUAAUGGGCUGGGGUGGCCCAAUUUUGCCUUACCAACCCCAGGGAAACUCUAAAUAAAGGCCUAGAUCGUUUAUAUAGAUAUAUUUUUAUAUAAUUAGCAUUCACAUGACAAGUGUGAAACUUUUCACUGUCUUUUCCUUCUGGAGUUCAUUAGUAAAGAAAGAGCUUGAAUAUCUCUCUUUGCACUUAGUGUUAUAUAUGUCAGGUCCUUCUAGUUUGCACCCUGUAAGCUUUGGUGGAAAACAGUUGUUUCGAUACCUUUUCAGUUUACAUUACCAGGUACUGUCAUUGGAUAAGCAUGCAUUGGCUGGAUAUAAUUCUAUGUCGACUGUGAAGCUUGGUAGAAUACAUUUGCAAUCAGUUGGCACUAGGAUGCUGCAUUACACCUGGCCUUCUAUCUUUCAAUAUUUGUUGAAGUACAACUGUUCAUAUUUUCCAUCUCUCCUAAACUACUUUUUUGUUACUCCAUGGCAUUAACUAGUCAAAUGUCACUUGCAAAUCUAAAUUUUGUAUAUUGGAGUGACAGAAGAAGAAGCUGAACCUUUCUAUAGAAGUUUCUCAAACGAGCUAUAUGUUGCUUAUUUGGGGAACAAGCCAAAUUGCCCUUUUUCUGAUGGAAGUUUUGAACUAGCUUAAGCUGCUUAGGUUGCAUCUUGAAAGUGUCAUAUUCUACUUUUGGGACUCUUAUUUUGCUAACACUGUACUCCUUGGUUUGAGUUGAAAGUGAUCACAAUUUAGCGAAACCGUGUUUGCAGUCUUCAAGGAAAACGACUUCAACUUGUCCCCUGUGUAAGACGAGUUUUGUUAGCAUCACAAAGGUGGAAGAUUCUUCUGGUUCAGAGCAAAAAAUAUACUCCCAGACCAUUCCACAUGACCAAUCAACUAGUGAAGUCUAUGUUGUGACUGAUCAAGGGAGAACGAGUUCCAGAGCCGAGGUACUUUCUAACUGUGUUACGUUGUCCUGUUUCUGCAUAUUCAUUUGACAGUUAUUGACGCUCCUCCUUAGGUACAUGUUUCACAUUUUUUGGUCUCUAAUGAGAGUAGUAUCGAUUCCUUGGGGUCAUUUCACAGAACAUAUUUUUGCUGCUCCAAAAGGAAAAGAAAAAGGAAGGAAAUGAAGGAUGUGUGCUAGUAUUUCGAGGCUUAUCUAUUAGUAAUAAUGAAUAUGAGGUUAGAGAAUGAGUUUUUUCGUAGAUGUUUAAUGCAGGAGAAUAAAUCAGGUUACACGACUGUUGCAUGCAUGGAAGGUUAGAACACAAUGCAGUUGAAUUUUGGAAAUGUUGUUUAAUACCAUUUGCUGAUAGUAAGUUGAGGUGCUGAAGUUCCGAAAUGGCAGAGCACCUUUGAGUACCUUAGUAUACGUCUAUUUUUGUCCAAGGGCAUGCUGGAAGAAGGGCAAAGAAAUAAAGAUGCAUCUGUUUCCUUUUCUUUUCCUUUCUGACAAACUGCAACGGAAAUAAAUAUAAUCACAAUUCAGAUAACAUGAGCCAGAUCAUGAUAAUGCAACAAAACAACAAUCCAUGGGAGAUAAAAGAUAAAAUAAAAGGAAAUAAAAUGCAUUGAGAUUUUAUGGACAAGUUCUGGAUUAGGAGUCAUUAAGAUCAAUUACCACUUGAGCACUUUUCAGCCUAGCAUUUGUGGGACAAUGGCUUAAAUUUAGUACUAACAUCUGCAUGUCUGAAAUCACCCAGUGAAAGCUGGUAGUUCCUUUCCUCUCAUCAUUUGAAAUGCAUUUCAGUUUUCUGUUUGGGGUGUUCAAUAAUCUCUCCUCAAACUAGAACUUUUAUAGAUGCUGAUUGCGUGUCCAACUUUUCUUGUUUGUGCUAUGCAGUCAUUUGGAGCGCAAGUCUGUAGUGAAUGUCGCUCUCGUGAGCCGGUGGAUCUCCUCAUCAGCUGCCACCUGUGCCAUACCCGCUGCAUUCAUUCCUACUGCUUGGAUCCCCCGUUGCUACCGUGGACAUGCGUUCACUGCAAGGAUCUCCAGAUGCUUUUCCAUCUUCCCCACUAGCCAAUACAUAGUAGCGUGCAAUUCAUUUUCAUGUAUGGUCAAACUCAAGUGUUGAAUGACUUCUUGAUAGUCAUCUGAUAACCACAAGCCAAUUCGCUUGUGCCAACUUUCAAUCGAAGUACCUUUCUGGGGAUGGCUAGUUUGUAAUUUGUACUAGUUCUGUUGUGAGAGCAGCUCUUACUGAUCAUCUCGAUACCAUGAAUAAAGUUUUGUGCAAUUUGAUAGUUGGCUAUUGCGUCAUCGAUAGGAAUUGUGCUGAUACAUUGGCAUGUGAGCGUUUUCCAAGGUCCCACUCUAGUGGCAGGGUAGAAAUUAGUGGCUUUAUGCAUCAUUGAUUUCAAAGAAUUGAUAAUUAUAAUCCUCGAAUCAAAGGUGGAUAACGCAGCUUGUGUAUAAUUUCCUCUACUUUAACAGUGCACCGUCUAUUUUUUAGUUAAUUAAUCUGUGCAAACAUGUCACUUUGUUAGACUCGUGAUUUCAAGUUUUCAUCUCUUUUCUACUUUACCGACUCUAGUGAUGGCGAUAGGUCACUUGCCAAAUCCAUGAUAGAUUCUUCUUAUAACAGGAGAAGUUCCUUCCCUCAGCAAAUUAGGUCCCAUUGUCCAAAAGCCUGAACUAGGAAAACUCCGCAAAGGUAAGGUUCAAAACAAACUUCCUCUUUCGUGAUGAUUACAAACUCCUCAAUGACCAAGCCCGCCCGAAAAAAAAAACUACCCGAUUCGUCCUUUCUUGCUCGUGUGAUUCAAAAAGGAUUGCACAGACAUUUCACGAAUGCCAUGGUCGACAAAAUCCAUCACAACACAGGAAAAACUUGCAGAGCCCACGUAAACAAGAUCGAGCUUGAAAUCCCAUCUAACUUCUUACGCAAUCUAUUGAAACUAGAAGUAUCAAUAUCAGACAACGUUUAUGGCGUGAGAACCUUGUCAAGUUGUCCUUCCUUGUCACGUUGUCCUUGGAAGGACCCCUGACUGUAGAAUUAUUGAGUAUAUUCUCCGGAAAAAGGCAGCAUGGUUCGUGCGUCGCAUGCUUUUGUACGGUUGCUGUCGUCCCCUGUUCAACAGUAGAGGCAAAUGGGGGAAAAAUCAAUUUGGACUUCGCUUUAUGUGGAAAUUCUAACAAAAGAGCCUCCUCCCAUGAUGUCCAACCGAGCCAAUCGAGUCCCAUGAUGUCCACCCAUCCUCUAAGUGACCGUGCUUUAUUACGUGCAUGCAAUUUGCCACGUCACUAUCUGCUCCCACUUGCGCUCCUUUUGUCCUCUCUAUCUUCUCGAGCUCGUGUCCUCCUCGCCUGAGAGCCGAAAGUUGCAAAGUGCACGUCGACGACACAUGCCCCCACGAGAAAAGGGAGAAGAAGGCUGAAUAUUUUUCUGUUUCCAUCGUCGCCCGACCGAUAUGACAUAGCAAAUCGAAAUCUAUUCUAACAAAUCGUACGUAGAUUUUGCGAGUUGCUUUUAUGAUAUAUUGGCUUCUUUGCAUGUCUUUAUCACAUGUAGACCUGUCAAAAUGGAUCAUAAAUCUAUUUCCUACCAUGAAUGUCAAAUGUGUUAAUUAUAUUGAGUAAUUUGAUCACAAAUUGAUUUAAACACCGUAUGAAUUUUAAUGGAUUAUAAAUGGGCCAUAAAUGAGUAUAAGAUUUACUUAAACUCUAUCCAUUUUUAUGGUUCACCCUUUAGACUCUUUCGCUUUCACUUAAUUGAUUAUAUAUGAAAAUAUUUAAGUAAUAUGAAUUUUGGAUCGAAUAUGAAAUGCAUAUGGAUUGAGUCGAGUAUAAAUAUUAGAGUUGCAUUGUAUAAAAAUAGAUAAAAUGAACCACCGCCCACGGUGGUGCAGUUGGUUUUGGGCCCUUUCUCCCUCACAAAGUGGAGGGGUUCGAAUUCUAGAGGUAUUGCGUUUGCGCGACUCAAACGCGGUUAGAUUUGUGGUGGUAGCUUAGUCCGCCCCGGGUUUACGUCUAGGCUGCUGCCCGACGGCGGUUCCUGGAUCAUAAGAAAAAAAAGAAAAAAAAUAAUGAAUUACAUUGAUAUAUUUUAAUUAGAUUAUUUAUGAGCCGGCCCAAAUGCAAUCAUACCCAUUUGAUAGGUCUAACCACAGGUUAUGAAUAUGCAAAGUAUCUUUCAAGGGCAUGGUGAUAGAAAGCAAUCGCUAUAAAGGAUGUCCAGCAAAAGCAGCUUUGUCUCAUCCCGAGUCAAUUGCAGCUUUUUGUUAUGUGGAUGAGGAUGAGAGAAGACGCACGGACGAUUCACCGGGCUUAAGCUCGUCAUGCGUGGAAGCAAGAAACGUCCCGGAGCACGGACCACAGAGAAAUGUGUGCAGGCUAGGUCGCGCACGUGUCUUUCCACAGACGACAGCGUCGGUCGGCAAAAAUUUUCCACGGCUCCGGACGAUCCUGAACGGGCCCCUUCGAUCGACGCGUGCGUACCUCAUUGGUCGUAACGCAAAAGAUCGAACGAACCUUUCGGUUUUUCGGCGGAAUUUAAGCGCAGAGUUUUGCAGAAGACGCCAGCAUCUUGUCGAGCAGAAAACGACCCGACUUCGCACACUUACUGAAUCACCUAAUCAUUCAUUAGCGUCUAAUCACGACUCUGCAAACUGUACUUGACGUGCUGGCUAUGCACCGGAGGUUUUCAUAGGUUCGUCGUCUCUCUCCACGACCGCAUUUAAACCGCGGGGAACGCAUGUGCACCGUAUCUUUCCGCGCGAAACAAUUACUACCGCCAACGCCUCCACCUAUCAUCGUACGUACCCCUCUCCUCGUACCGUAGGCGCGCGGCACGACAAGAAAGGAAUGGAAUUCGAGAGAAAAUUCACUCCUACGCAAUCACGCCUUUCGAAAAUCUUAAUACCUACAGACAAGAAAGCACCACCGACAUCGUUCGCCCGAGAGAAAACACGAAAAAGUUAAUCUUUGGAUGGAGGUGGGGACGGGAAUUCAAAAGGCUACGCUCCUGCUCUUGGGGGAGUCGGCGACCUUGAGGGUCUCCUCGAUGAGCUUGCGGGCCUUCCUGCUUCUGAUCUCGACCCGCAUGCUGUCGCUCUUCUCGAUCUUGUCGUAGAGCGGCUUCUUCAGCUUCAGCGACCUCAGCUUCGACUUCAGGCUCCCCACCAGCCUCUCGAUGCCCAUCAUCACCAUCGCCCGAGUCCUCCCUCCGAUCGACCUCCUGCACAGAACAAGAAGAGGACUGAGGACGCCAGUCCCAUGACGAACAGAGCGGGGAGAAAGGAGAGAUUUUUAACAUGAAGAGGCGGAGCCAGUUCUUGGGUACUUACCAACAGAGAGCGAGAGAGUGGGGAUGAAUUGGGUUGGAGUUUUCGAGCGUUGCGAGAGAAGCAACGAGAAGAGAGAGAGAUAAAGAAGACAAGGAAGAGGAGAUGAGAAAGAGCCAGGCUUUCUCGAAUUACAUGGAAGCCUUUUUGUGCUGUGGUGGCCUCAUUAAACAUUUUCCGUUUUAUCUAUUUUUUCUUUUCUUUUGGACCCAGCUAUAUGCAUGCACAUUUCACGUGCUGGCCAUGGGCUAUUUUUUCCGAACAUAAUGGAGGGAUUUCGCUAUCCCUUAUUUACAGUUUGGUGAGUAGCAGUUAUAAAAUUGAACGUUUUCAUAUUCUAUCAUAUCUCGUUAAUUGUUUAGUAAGAACCGACACAUCAGUACAAGUGCUCAAACGGAAAUGACCAAAAAUUCCUCAUAAUUCCUAAUGAAAAAAAUGGGGAAAAUUAUUAAGAAUAUUUUAAACUUACUUCCAAUUCAAUUUUGAACAAUUCAAUUGCGUCGAUUGAGUCUCAAACAUUUUCGCAAUUUGUCAAUUGAGUCUAUUUGGCCAAUUUUGGCUAGAAAUCGGAGACAUAGACACUGGUCAUUUUAUGUUACAUGUAACAUUUUAAAACAAUAAUUUAAUGAUUUUUCGAAUUUUUUAAAUAUUUUUUAGGUUUUUGCUUUUUUUCUCCUUUACUUUCUUUACUUUUUGUCUUUUUAGAGAGAGUGUUUGUGCUCACCAACAUUUGGCGAAGGAAUUGGAGCCCUUGCCUAGAUAUGAUGAGGGACGUGAGUCGUGACACCCUUGUUGUGCCCAUUAAUAACCAGGACACCUGUGGGCCAAAGCGAAAGCAUGUGAACCAUUGUUGGGUCUAGGCGAGCGCUUACAUGCUCUUGCCUAGUGCUCGCCUAGUGCCAACAAGGGUCAUUGGCCCUCCCUUAUUUGAAAAUGACUAUGUUAGCAUAGGUUGUGCUACGUAAGACGGUUGGCAUCCAUGUUGGUGAUUUCCAGCUAUAAUUGGUCGGAUGGACUCAGUUGUGAAAAUGUAAAAGGAUUUAGAACUCGAUUGGCACGAUUGAAAUGUUUAGGAUUGAAUUAGCACAGGUGCAAUAGAUUAUUAUUUUUUUGAUAGUUUUUCCUAAAAAAAAUUCCCUGAAAAAAAUUGGAAACACAAAUGGAGACAACCUCCAAUAAUCAAUUCAUGAUUAUUGUAUGAUCAAAACCUUAAACAACAAAGGAGCUCAUUGCAGCAUUCAAAAGCCUACUGAAUUGACUACAAUGAUAAAUUAAUGGGUUAAAAUGGUAUUAACGAGAUAUAUUAAUCAAAGAAUGCCAAGUCUUGUAUAAGAGAGAAUGUAUAAUUAUUCACCUUCGUGAUUAUGAAAAGUAGACUCUCUUGUGAUACUUCAAUAUGAUUCCGAGAGUUGUGGAGGAGAAUGAGAUUUGACUCUCUUGCUCCUGAUGUGAAACUUCGAUGUUAACCAGAGAGUUACAGAGGAGUUGUGAAGUUUCAACGCAAAUAAGAGCUAUGGAGGAGAAGGAGAUCAAGAGGUAGAGUUUCCCAGAAAAGGACAUAAAAAUCUCUAUUCAGAUUUAUUCUACCUUACGGGAUAUCUUUAUCCAUAUAUAUCUUUUUUAAAUUUGGUAAGGGGAAAUUGUUCAAUCAAUUUUAAACCUCUUGUACGGACCAUAUUGACAAUUUCCCGAAAAGGUUUAUGAACUUUCAAUGCGAAUUACAGUUACGGAGAAGAAGCAGAUCAAGAAGGUAGAGUUUUUCAUAAAAGGACGGAAAUAUCUACUCAACUUUAUUCUACCCCAUGGGAUAUUUUUUUCAUACUAUAUCUUUUUUAAAUUCAGCUAGGGGAAAUUGUUCAAUCAAUCUUAAACCUCUUCUACAUUGAAAAUUUCCUGAAAAGGUUAAUGAAGUUUCAACACGAAUCAAAGCUAUGGAGGAGAAGGAGAUCAAGAAGGUAGAGCUUUUCAGAAAGGGACAUAACAAUCUCUAUUUACCUUUAUUCUACCUCCAUGGGAUAUUUUUAUCCAUACUAAAUCUUUCUUAAAUUCGGCUAGGGGAAAUUGAAUCUUAAAUCUCUUGUACGGACUACUUAAAAAAUUUCCUGAAUAUUUCUAUUAAAAAAUUUGACAAAAUCGAGAAGUUUAGAAUUAAAUUAAUAAGCAUACAAUAGAUUUAAGACCGAUUGGGUAAUAUUUUAUAUUUGACCUUAUCCCGUCUUGGACAGCAACCAAAUAUAGGAUAGGAUGAGAAUGAUUACAUUCCAAUUUUAAUCCUGAUUAUCAAAUGUAGCCUUGAUCUUUGGGACAUCAGAUGUAUUUUGUCAGCUGUGGACCUAUGGCCACAUACCGAUGAUUAAUGACAAUCAUCAAUGGCUCCCACGGCCUCCGGAUUCGAAUGCUAGGCCUGACAACUUUCAGUACCAAUUUGGCCCAUCAAGUUUUCCUUUUGGGCCAGUAAGAGGCCCCCGUCAAGUUUAGCCAUUUAAAUUCGUAGAACAAAGACUGAAUUUAAUGAUAGGAGCUCCUCUGAAAAUGAAUAUAAUCUCCGUUUUCCACGCUCGAUUUAAGCGCGCGUCUAAGAGCGUUACCACAUCUAACCGUGAAGUCCUUAUCGAGGAUUCUCACGAACAUUUACACGCACGGUCCCUUCUUCCCUCCUAGAGCCGUGUAUCAUAGGUUAUCCGAAAAGGAGUCUCUUAUUUAUAGCGUCGUGAUUUGAUAAUGAUAAGUCUGGUGGAGCUUAUUUAGUGGCAUAAUAUUGGCUCGAAACGAUUUAAAAUUCAUACACAACUUUAAUGGCGAGGAAUGCUAAGGCAUACCAACCCGCGACGUAGGAAGGGGGACCAUGGUGCAUAGGGAAAAUUGUAGAUUUUAUGGCGACGGUCCUACCAAUCAUUAGCCAAUCUUUCAGCGAUGACAUCAAAAAAGAAAAGAAAAAGGACUACAAAUUUACUUUGUCCCCUCCGCUUCAUGUAUUGGUGACACUGGUUUCAAACGACAUGCUCGGGACUCUGAUUGAUUUGCGAUAACUACAAGAAAUGGGAUAGUGGUUGGCACGCCGAUGCUUCGUACGGUAUAUAUGCAUACACAUGCGCCAUGAAAAUCAAUCAAUUGUUCUAAAAUUUAUUGUACUAAUGCUAAUUCGAUUUUGAACUUUUCAAUUUUGGCAAUUUAGUCCCCAACCUUUAUGUGAAAUUCUAAUGUGAUUUUUCUAUUUUCACUAGAAAUCGCCGACGUUGUGGUAUACUACAUAGGAUGACUAGUACCGCGAAAAUUGACCGAAAGAACUACAUAGAAAUUUGACUAAAAAAUUGGGGGCUAAAUUGUCGAAAUGGAAAUGCUUAGGACUAAGGGUGCUUGGUUCUCGGUCUAUUCCGAUCCCACUCAAGAACUGUGAACUGGACCGAUUCCCAAUUUCUUGGACCACUGGUCACUUAGCAAUGAUCGGAUGACCAAGCAAUGAGACAGGUGUUGGUGCUCCUCUUCCUGAAGGGUUCAAAAAGAAUAAGGAAUGCCUGCAACGAGAAGCUCUACUAAGGAAGGGACAUGCGAAUAAGAGAUCCGACACAUACUAUUCAUAUGUACAAACAAACAUAUGGUGGCCGCACUUACAGCCAAACCACUAAACUUUUGGCAACAUUUGACAGGGGUGAUUUAUAGCGUUACCGAAGAGUGAAGAGCGAGACCGCUAGAGUGGAAUAAGCUACCGGACAAGCGAGAGCCGAGAGACCGAAGAGUGAAGAGCAAGGCAUAAGGGAAAGACUAGAGUGAAGAGCAAGGCGUUACAAGAGGGAAAGAUUGGAGGCCGAUUAGAGUUUGUUUGUUUUCUUUAAGAAUUACAGAAAAAACAAAAAAAAGUAUAGUCAGUUUGGUUUGGUUGGUGCGAUUCCCAACUUGGAAUUCGGAACUGGACUGGUAUCUCUAGAAUUGCAAGAAAUUGAUCGGUUUAGUUCAGUUCGAGUAAUUCUCAGUUUGGACGAUCCGUCUUGCUCAUCUCUAUUUAGGACUGAACUAACAUUCAUAUAAUGAGUUUCAGACUAAUUGGACAUUUUUUCCUACUCAUGUAAGCACACACCCGAACUUUUUUUUUUUUUUUUUAAAUUUUGUUCUCGCAAAAAGAUACAAUUAUGUUAAUUGGAUAGUUGUGAAUGAUAUCAGGAUUUAGCGUCCUUUAUGACCUUGUACCGGAGGGAGAAAAUGUAGGCUUAUAGUACACAACCUAUCCUCCUAUUCUAUUGUAUUGAUUAUCCUAAACCUAACUUUAAUUUAUUUCGAUGUGAAUGGUGCCACCCUCUUAGUUGGUGAGAGGCCCCUCUCGAAACCCAGGAAAUUAUGUGGCUCCUGGGCUUUUCAGCUACUCAUGCACGUUAUCUUCCAAUCGAGACAUUAGUCUUGCGCAAGAAGACGAAUAAAGACAAUGAAGUCGUAAUCAGGCUCCCCUUCCCAGCUGUACUGGUCUAAGUUAUAUUUACUUACUAUGCCCGUAAAGUUCCAUUUAUUUAGCAAAAAAUAAGUAAAACUUACUUACGAAAUUAUUUACAUAUAAAUUAUUAUUAAUUAUGAGUAUAUUUUUUAUUAAUCGAUUAUUUUAAGCAAUACAAGACAUUAUCCAUUGAAAAAACAUUUUUCAACUCAUUUACUUUUUGCAAUAUAUAUAUAUAUAUAUAUAUAAAAUCUAACAGAACAAGUACCUUUCGAACUCUCAUCGAUCAUCCGGUAAUCUACUUUCUUGCUCUUACCCAUUUACUGUCUAAUAGACAAUCUCACAUCAUUAGCGAAUUAAAUUUUAAAGGAGUAGAUUCAAGGAUGGAUGGUGUGAGUGUCCACGAAUAUAUAAUAGGAUUCUUGAGAGAAGGAAGAUCUAUACGUGAUUAAUCAAGUGAUAAAGUAUAGAUUAUAUACGUGUACGCUAGAAGUGUGUGUAUGAUUAUUCUAGAAAUCUCAUCAUUUCCUUUUUAGCUAUAUUUUAAUCUGUUCAGCCUGUCGACCAAGACCCCAAUAAAAAUCACCACGAUCUCGUUUAUCUAACUCACUCGAAUGCGGUCAUAAUCAUUCAUCCCCAUGCUCAUAUAGUUCCCCCAUCUCUAGGCCUCUCUCUCUCUCUCUCUCUCUCUCUCUCUCUCUCCAUCGCAGAAAUGAAAGGAGAGAUACAGUCGCACCACCACAGAACCACACCGAAGAUAGUCCUCCUCGUCACCAUCCUCUUCGCCCUCCUCAUCAUCAUCUCCCUCUACAACCCUUUCCUCUCUCAGCCCCUCCUCAUCUUCUCAAGAACAACCUCCUCCUCUUCCUCCUCCUCCUCGGAUGAGGCUGUCGUCGCCGUUGAAGAGGAUGACCCUGCCAUCGGCUCAAGCACGGCGGAGAUCUGCGACAUAUUCACGGGGGAGUGGGUGCCGAACCCGCGGGCGCCGUACUACACGAACAAGACCUGCUGGGCGAUCCACGAGCACCAGAACUGCAUGAAGUAUGGCCGGCCCGACACCGACUUCAUGAAGUGGCGGUGGAAGCCGGACGGCUGCGAGCUCCCCCUCUUCAACCCGGCGCAGUUCCUGGAGCUGGUGAGGGGCAAGUCCAUGGCAUUCGUGGGGGACUCCGUGGCCAGGAACCAAAUGCAGUCCAUGAUCUGCCUCCUUUCUAGGGUACGUACGCAGUCCACUCACUAAGCCUUUGCCUUUUCUUGGUUUCUUCUUCACCUCCAUUGAAGCGCAUCUCGGUACUUGCUACUUUCGUUUUCAGGAGUUGCAUUAGGUCUAUUACUUUCUUUUAUUUCAAUUAGCACAACGAUAGAGGGGGGUUUUUCACUGAUUUACGCGGCUGGAAAUUAAUAUGAAAAUCCAAAUAUUCCUUACUAUAGAAGUUGCAUUACGACCAACAACGAUUAAAAUGAAAAUUCAAUAAAUUCUUUAUUAUAUCAUUCAAUCUUUUGACGUAAUAAAUCUGACCGCAUCUGUACUGAUGUUUUGGUUCGGCAUCCUAGAAAGGCGCAAGGCGACUGUGUGUUUAGAAGUUUGAGCACCGCUUUGUACAAAUUUAGUGGCAUCACAUGGCCCGAUCGAAAGUAAUCUUUUUACUAUUAACAUGUGGCUUGAGGGACGAAUGCAAAGCAGAAUUUCUUUUUUAUUUUCUAAGGUCCCCCAUCUGUGCAAGAUGAAUAAAAUAUUAGUAAUGUCAGUUUUCACGAGUAAUGACGUGUGAGAUUCCAGAAAAUGUGGCUAGCUCUUCACUUCUUAUCACAUAGCUACGUGAACUUCAAUAUCUUACUAAUUUCUUAGAUUAUUGUUUCUUUCACUCGACUAAGUAGAGUCGAGAUGAAAGUCAGCACGCUGAUAUUCACAGCCGUAGCUACGGCGAGUUUGCUCGAGUAGAAAGGUCUCUCCUUUUUUAGGAACAGGCACGACCAUGUGAAUUAGACUUUGGAGAUAGAUGUUUGACUUUGGGCGUUGAGUCGAGGUUCUGCGUCGAUUGGACAUUUUCCUUGGACGUAGUUACGCCCACGUCUUUAUGAGAGUUUGAACUAAUUCGCCCCCAAUAAAGAAAACGGGUUUGUUGACCAAAACCCAUCAAGAGAUGUGAAUCUUUUUCUAAGGUUUAGGUAGAUGUAGCAGGUGAAGAUAACGUGGAGGGGAAUACCUCGAACACAUUAAUCGAUGGCUUCUUCUUUAAAAAGAUUUAGAUACUAAUUAAGAAAACCAUUUUUCCAAAAAAUGAAUUUGAAAUUGGGGGUGAUGUGUCACAAACAAUGAGAGACUCGGUCGGGAUUUGUCUUUUUUCUUUUUCUUGCUUUCUAAAUCUUGGUCUGCCAUUAUGAGCUAUCAAUUGAUAUAGUAGCAAAGGGAAAUUGCCCUAAUUCCAUAAAUUGGGCUGGACAUGCUUGCUGCUGAAGCCUUCUUAAGGCGCAAGUAAACAUGUCACUUCAGUAGCCAUACAUGGUGGAACACUCGCGAUAGAAUCAUUAUAUCUGGCAAUAGAUUAUACGACCACCCUCAUUAUAGAUGCCCAAGUCAAUCAAUUUUGCCACAACUGGAAGCUUGUACGAAUGACUUUUGAUUAGCAGAGUAAUUUUUGUCUUUGAUUCGGAUUAGGGUCCAAUCGGUUCUAUCAAAUUUAGGCUCAGAUCCAUCAAAUUUAUUAGUUUGGCUUGGCACAAUUUGUACAUCUAUUCACUUGAUGUUUCAAGAUUUUCUUUUUUUAAACAGUUGCAACUUACACAGCCCUUUUCUAGAUGCACAACUGUAGCACAUAUUUUUCCUUAUUUGUUGAAGGGUCAAAUCUGAUUUAAUGGGUACACACACAUUUAUACACACACACACACACACACACACAUAUAUAUGCAUAUAAUUGUCUGGUUGAAGGGUCACAUUGAGAUGUCUCUUUCUUAAAGAACAGUAAGACAGAUUAGGAGAUAGGAAAAAGAGGGCAUGUAGCCAGCUAAUAAGGCUGGCCAUGGUCAAGAUUUGUGACAUCGGCCUAUUAAUUAAGGCCAUUUGCUGGUGUACACAAUUAUUAUAUUCCGGACCGAACAAUUCUUAAAGGCAUCAACCUUUGUUCGAUUCGUAUGAUCCAACUUGAAGAGUGAAGACGGCAUAUCAAUCAUAAGUAUAUAUUUAUCUAUUUAUUUGAGAUUUUCGGAUGCCCUCGCUUUGUAGAUUAAAAUUUUUUCAGGGACUUUCAUAUUUAAAGUAAGGAAUUCCUUUCUUGAAUUCGGGUCCCUUAAAUAAGAUGAAUCACGACAAUUGAUUUUUAUGGUUCUAGCCUGAGCCCCAUGAUAUCAACAGUAGUGAUCCACUCGAUCAAUUAGAUCCAGAUCGGGGCUAGUAUCCCGGUUUCAAAGCAACCUCUUUUGCUUGUACAAUAACAAUAUCAUCAUAAAAACAGCAAGAAAAAAGAAAAUAGAAUAGGAUAAUCGAUUUAAAAUUUUAUAUUUUUACAAAGGAAAAAGAGUUAAGUAAUAAUUAAUAGUACAUGAUCGUGGGGCUACAGGGUUUUAGAUCUCAUUGCAUGUUCGGAUUGGACCACGGUCCAUGGCUUAAAUAUUACUUUACUAUUAAGAGGGGCAUGCAGACAGGCACUGAUUAAAUAAUACAAGCAGAAGAAGCCGAGAAGCACGCGAAGGCUCACAUGCACACACAUGUUCCUUUGUAGCCAUCUGCGCUUUGAUACCAUUUAGGAGCCAAUGGGAUUCGAUUUAGAAAACGUCCAUUGGCAAAAGGAAUCUCAUAUCUCGUGGUUUCACCAAUUUUUAUUGUCUCUAUCCCUCCAGAAUAAUUCCCGAUCGAAUCCAUUUGCUUUUAAUUUUUGGACCAUGACAAUGAAAGUCCUAAAUCAUAGGUCGAUUAGUCACUUUGAUUCUGAAACUUUUUAUUAGACCAUUUAUGUCCUAAAAUUUGUUUCUGUUCGUCACUUGAGUCCUCGAGUUGUUGAGUUAGUUUUGAACAGAGGAAAGUUCAUGUGGAUUUUUUUUUUUAAAAUGAACUUUUGCUUUAUUUAGAUACGUGAUGAUGAUGAUGUGAUACUAGUAAAUGUCAUAUGAAAAAAACUCGAUAUAUAAUAGAAGAAAUAAAAAGAAAGAAGACAGAGGGAGCUAGAUAAGGGGUUGCUUGCACUCGUUAGCACGGUGGUGGCAAUGGUGUCGCCACCAUCGCGAGAUUGAGGGUGCUCGCCCAGUCCCCAAAUCUAGUGUGGGAAAGCAACCCUCUCUCCCUUGCUCGUGGUGAGAGCCACAUUUGGGCUAUGGUGGCUAGCGGGGAUGGUGGGGGGUGAGAGCAAUCAUCCCUUGCUAGGUUAUUAAGGAGGGUCAUUGUCGUCAUUUUUUUUAUAUAAAAAAUAUCAAAAUGGGUCAUAAACUCAUUUUUUAACUCGAUAUUUGAUAAGUUGAGUUGUUAUAUGGUUUAAUUAAACUCAAUAAAGGGUCAUAAAUGAGUUUAGAAUGGUAGAAUCCAAAAUAAUAUGUGUUAAACGAAUUCACAACUUAUUUAGACUUAACCCACUUCUAUAACUCUUUUUACACUCUCUCGUCUUCACUCAAUCUUGUGCUCGCUCACUUGGUAGUCUUACUAAAGUUAAUGUAUGAGUUUUCAUAAAUUAGGAUGAGUAUGGAAAUCAUUUUAUCAAUAUGAAUUGGAUUGGGCAUGAGUUAUUAAAUUUAUAUCACAUGAAAGUGAGUCAAAACUGAUUAAAUAUGUCAAUUUGAGUCAGAUAAUUUUCAAUCGGAUCCAAACUCGAUCCGACAACAAGUAGAAUAGUUAUGUACUUGAUGAACCUUUUCGUGAUGAUGGCAGGUGGAAUAUCCGAUUGAUGUCUCGCACACGUCGAAUCAGCAAUACAUGCGCUGGAGGUACGUGACCUACAACUUCACGCUCGCCAACUUCUGGACGCCCCACCUGGUCAAGUCCGCGGAGACCGACCCGAACGGGCCGACCAAGACGGGCCUCUUCAGCCUCCACCUCGACGAGGCCGACGACAGGUGGUUGUCCGAGGCCGAGGAGUUUGACUACCUGAUCGUCUCCGCAGGGCAUUGGUUCUACCGUCCGCUCGUCUUCCACGAGGGCGGCAAGAUUGUGGGGUGCCAUUUUUGCUUGCUAGAGAACGUUCCGGACCUGACCAAGUUCUACGGCUACCGGAAGGCGUUCAGGACAGCGUUCAAGGCCAUCAACGGGCUCAAGAACUACAAGG